Molecule: regulatory RNA element, 104 nt
Organism: Jeotgalibaca sp. PTS2502
Lineage: Bacteria; Bacillati; Bacillota; Bacilli; Lactobacillales; Carnobacteriaceae
Rfam family: TPP riboswitch aptamer (THI element)
About the family: Vitamin B(1) in its active form thiamin pyrophosphate (TPP) is an essential coenzyme that is synthesised by coupling of pyrimidine and thiazole moieties in bacteria. The previously detected thiamin-regulatory element, thi box was extended, resulting in a new, highly conserved RNA secondary structure, the THI element, which is widely distributed in eubacteria and also occurs in some archaea. Analysis of operon structures identified a large number of new candidate thiamin-regulated genes, mostly transporters, in various prokaryotic organisms.
Source: Rfam
UCAUUUAAUCCGGAGAGCCUUUUAAAGGAGGCUGAGAGUGCUAGAAGCAGAUUCGUGAACCUGAUCAACUUUAUCGUUGCGUAGGAAGAUUAUAAUUUUUUACU